This 274-nucleotide ribosomal RNA is filed under the name uncultured bacterium. Its description in RNAcentral is "partial 16S ribosomal RNA". It matches the Rfam family "Bacterial small subunit ribosomal RNA", at positions 523 to 796 of the family's 1533-position model. The record is from RNAcentral.
AUACGAAGGGGGCAAGCGUUGUUCGGAAUAACUGGGCGUAAAGCGCACGUAGGCGGAAUGUUAAGUUAGAGGUGAAAUCCCAGGGCUCAACCCUGGAACGGCCUUUAAUACUGGCAAUCUAGAGACCGAGAGAGGUGAGUGGAAUUCCGAGUGUAGAGGUGAAAUUCGUAGAUAUUCGGAGGAACACCAGUGGCGAAGGCGGCUCACUGGCUCGGUACUGACGCUGAGGUGCGAAAGCGUGGGGAGCAACCAGGAUUAGAAACCCUAGUAGUCC